RNAcentral lists this ribosomal RNA (350 nucleotides) under Astacus astacus (noble crayfish). RNAcentral describes it as "partial 12S ribosomal RNA". Lineage: Eukaryota; Metazoa; Arthropoda; Malacostraca; Decapoda; Astacidae. The record is from RNAcentral.
AAAUUUAAAAAAUUUGGCGGUAUUUUAGUCUAGUUAGAGGAACCUGUUUUUUAAACGAUAAAACACGCAUUAUCUUACUUAUUUUAGUAAAUCAGCUUGUAUACCGUCAUUAUAAGAUAAUUUAAGAGAGAAUAUUAUUAGAAUCAUGUUAUAUGAGUAUAUUAGAUCAAGGUGCAGCUUAUGAGUAAGUAAAAAUGGGUUACAAUAAAUUUUAUUUAUACGGAUUUAAUAUUUAAAUAUUUUAAUGAAGGAGGAUUUGAUUGUAAAAUAAAAAUUAAUAAGUUUUUUUGAUAGAAGCUCUAAAUUAUGUACAUAUCGCCCGUCGCUUUCAUUUAAGGUGAGAUAAGUCG